Transfer RNA from Penicillium brasilianum, 72 nucleotides. It matches the Rfam family "tRNA". Rfam says of the family: Transfer RNA (tRNA) molecules are approximately 80 nucleotides in length. The record is from Rfam. NCBI's taxonomy places the organism in Eukaryota, Fungi, Ascomycota, Eurotiomycetes, Eurotiales, Aspergillaceae.
AGCAAGCUGGCGCAUAGGAAGCGCGUCGGGCUCAUAACCCGAAGGUACCUGGAUCGAAACCAGGGUUUGCUA